GCUGGAAAGGGAAGAGUAACAUUACAACCCUCUUAUCUGGCCAUUACUAUUAAAUGCAUUUCAGAGUCACUUCAGCACCAGUUGGUGCUCUUAUUAAAAAAACAAAACACACAUUAAAAUUGUUUAAGCUCUACGGUUGGCUGCACAUUCAUCCUGUGGGAAAAUACUGCACACAAGGGGACAGAAUUAAGGUUGGGUGGGCAACUAUAAAUCUGGCAUUUUCUAACAGUGAGUGCUUGAUACUGCAACCUAAAUGUUCUUUUAACUUGGAAAUUACCUUUUUCAAAAGAAAAGUUUAAAAAAAAAUGUGCAAGCGUAUCAAGCCCCACCUUCCCACAACUACUUCAUAAACAAGGUUUGAUCACUGAAGUUCCAGGGCAGACAUUAGCUGGAAGCAGCAGAAAAGGGUGGGGAGAAAGAGAAGGACUGGACCACUGAGUCCUGGGGUGGCUGGUGGGCCAUAUACCCACGCUUGUUCUUACCUCCGCUCUCUUCCACUCCCUUGUUGAUGAAAUUUUGAAGCAUGAACUACUCAAAAGUCACAAGCAUCCUUUAAGAUGGACACGUUAGGGACCCUAAAUCUAGGGAUCACUACCAACAUCCUCUAUAGAGAUGUUCAGAGGGGCGGUGCGAUGGCGUUAAGUCCGAGCAGGUAAGAAUCAAUUUCUUUGUGCUUUAGAAAAAGUUGUACCUGCACUCAGGGAAUGGAUGUUCAGAUUAGGCCAAAGCAGGGGACCCUGAGAGAGAAGUCCCUGACAUGUGGAUGGAGAAUUUUUCCUCUUGUGAUGCUAAUGUAAAUGGGGUACUCCUAUGUUCAAAGAGAAAGUGAAGAGUCAUGGGGCGUGUGUGCAGUGAGAACACCUCCCAAGGGCAAAUGGACUUUGAGUGAAUGUUUUUUUCAGUUCUCUUAGAGAUGGUGCUGGCCUGCCUCAAUUCUUGCUAAGGCGAUCUCGCAAUUAAACUCUAGUUCUUCUCUAGACCUAGAAAAGAAAGAGGAGGCUGCUGCACUUACAUUUAACCCCAACUACUUAUAAAGGCAGCCUGAACACGAGUAACCACUUUUGAUACUUGCUGGCAUUUAUUUCGUCUGGGGACAGUUUACUUUACAGGGGAGUCUUCUGCAGAACAGCCUAACUGGUGCAUCAGACUAGUGGCUUAUGUGUCUGCCAGCACACAUCGCUUCAAAGAGUGGGGGUCGACUGCUAUAAAAGCCCAAGCCAAACCUGAGGGAGGGUGGCUGGGUUAGGGACAGCAAAUAUCAAAAAAAGCCUCUACUUGUUCGAUAUAAAUUCUCCUGAGUUGUAGCCAUGGAUGAUGGAGGUUUAAUUGAUGAUAUACUCAGCUGUAGGGACAAAACUGUAAAGGGCAGCUCUAGUAUCGAGCAAAUUUACUUGGAGUUAAAUUCUGCAGCUGUCUUGUUACUGAAAUAUUACCAUACCUGUCUAAAUUUAAAAUAGCUGGUUGCCCAAGAAUUAAACCAUUUGAUUUUUACUACUCUAUUUUGAGGUAGUGAAAUCCAUACAUGAGAAGUGGUUGUUCAAAUCUUCUUUGAAGCUAGAUAAAACACUUCCUUUCCCCAGGAUUAACAUUAAGAUGACAGCUCUCUUAAUGGGGGAGGACUAGUUCACGUACAAUCGUUUGGAAUCACUUACUUCUAUCUUUACUCCUCUCUGUUGGGGAAUUCUGCUGGAUACUGCUGUCACUGCUGCCAGAACGAUGGCGUGGUCUUCUGCCCUUUAUCAAGACGGCCCGAUAUACCUGCAAAAAGUCAGAGAUAAACAAAUUGAAGGAAGCCAUAUAUGCAAGCAGCAAAGGAAUGCUACUUCAUCUCGAUACUCACCUGCUGGGAAAGACUUGCUCAGGUUCACUAUGAGGCCUUCAUAUCCCAAAUGCCCAACGGCUGAACGACUAAGGAGUGCCAUCUAAACUGAACAAGGCCUCUUGAAACUUAUAACAAGGAUUAAAAAAAUGGAAUAGCUGUUACUUCUCACACUUACCUCCUCACAGGUAGGAACUUUGUUCUCAUUAUCUCGGAUUCUGUCCCACAAUGGAGAUUCACGUUUCCACGCCAUACUCUCCAAGAUUUGCUCUUCAAUAUGAUUAAGGUGUUUUACCACCUCUCUACAAAGGCCAUCUUCUGCUCUAAUAAAAAUCUCUAUUACCUGUGAAGUGAGUAGAUAUGAAACCUACCUAUUACAAUGUUAAAUCAGGACAUUGUGUGACCAAUACAAUAAGUGAGAUCAUCAUACCUUUCAUGUUGUUCCCUUUCAAACAGGUUUAUAUUAAAUUUGUGAAGCAUCACAUUAAUCCCGACAGAAAAAGGUCUGUUCUAACUCAAUAAUAGUAUGUAACUGUCAUACUAGUUCCCCAACAGCUAGAUACAAUUAAAUCUACAUCAAUCAAUCACUAUAAUUACAACUCUGUCAGACCAAAGUUACAUGAUUUGAAGAUAAAUGUUUAUUUUCAAUAAGUCAAGAAGUAAAAUAGGAAGUGCCCAUUAAUCCAUGUAAAUGUUGUGGUCCAGUGCCAUUAUUUUUUAACUAGACAAUUUGGACACUACCAAUGCAUUACACAGUUAACAACAGUACAUGAUUUUUCCAGUUUAAAUUUCUCCACCAAAACAAAAAACCCCACCCCACAUAUGAUCGUUUUCAUAACUUAGAAAUUUAAGCAAUUUCACAUCCAACUGAGGAAAAAGUAUCUUGCUUCAAGAAAAAAGUCUGUAGAAGUAACCAGCAUGACUGGUAAUCAUCACUUCACAUGAUCAAAGCCAUUUACCUUAUAAAAGUGAUAAACAGGUACAUCAAAGAUUUCCGUAAUUAAUGGGAAAGUUCCAGGAGGCUUGUAUGAAAAAGUAAUUAUCUCAAGGCAACAUGCCAGGAGAGACCUGUGAAGCACAUCCUGCUCCAGUAUUGCCUGCAAUACAAAUAUUAAAAUAAACUUCAGCCUAGCUUAGAAAAACAUGUCUACAUUGAAGAAAAAAGGCAAACAAAUAGUCUUUGGUUUGAACUUUAUUGUAUUAAAAAGUUAGAUUUUUUUUAAAACAAAUAUUGUAUAACAUUGUUUGAAUUUACAUACUCACAUGCAUUAACAACUCUAAUUACAGAUGGGUAAAUUGCAUUCUAUUCUGCCUUUGCAUCAUAAGCAAAAUUGUCACCUAAGUUCUGCGGCCAGAACUGAAUCCAGAGUCAGUGUGCAAUGCCAGUUAGAAAUAUCAUCUUUGCACUUGCAAACUAAACAAUCUAAUAUGGAAAUUGCUAAGAAAAUAACUUCACUAUGGAGUUAUCUUCCCUACUAAUUUUGAAUGGCUUAACAGCAUUUGUCAUGCUGUGCAACUAGUUCUUUCUGAAAGAAACAAGUUUAAAAGUGAAUUAUCUGAUUGAUGACUGAUUUUACUUACUGAUAAGUCAGUGUCUCCUAAUCUUCUCCUUUCCUGCUCAAUGACAGACUCUAAUACCUUGUAGUAAAGAACCUCAGCAAGACGAAAAUGCUUGCCAGCAUUAUCUGCAAGAGGAAAAAGAUAAUGAAAAAUGCUAUUAAAAACACUCUGUAUAUUUGAUUUAAGGUGCACCUAUUGCCAUUAGUUUUUUUACUAUUAGCUUUUUUCAUAAAAAUGAGGAUAAAAAUGACUUUAUUAAGCUACAGUAACAAAUGUUGUGAUUACGUUUAUAUAGCUUUUCAGCUUGGGAGAUCCCCAAAUGCUUUAUGAUGGGGUGGGGAUGGUAAGGAGGUAGAAGAAGACUGCAGGGAAAGUGAAGAAUAGCUUUUAUUACUGAAGCCUCAGGGGGAAGUUUAGGAAGGCAGAAUUUAACCGCAACAGAAGCUGGAAUUUGACCAGGACACCAGAGCUAACAAUCACCCUUAAUCUUGCUAUUUAACACAAUCUUUUGGUGAAUUUUACUAUAAGUACAGAAGAGGUGCAUCAGUAUCUCAAGGUACAGAUACUCCUUCAAAUUUCUAUUGAGUACAAACAAUAAAAAGAAAGUAGCUUUAGUAACUGGUAGAUACAAAAUGUCCCAUAUUGAUAGAGGGAAAUUGUCCCCCAUGUUUGUCCUUCAGUAGCUGAACUGUUUUCACAGGGAAAUCUGACUUACAACAUUCUGAUAAAUUUUGAAAAUAACUUGCUCUUUUGGUUGUGCUUAUAAGCUUCCAAUAUAUCUGCCAAAAUUUUCAAUACAGUGAAUAGCUUUUUCUCUUCUCUUGGAUUCUUCUUGUAUUAAUUCUAAACUUAAUAUCUAGGUUUGGAAGGAGUUUUAUUGGUAAAUGUCAAAUGUCUAUUUCACCAUAUGCACAAGCCAUUGAAAAAUAUUUACACUGACAAUAACAAAUGUACAGAUAGGCAAAGAAAAAAAUGCUGCUUGAGAAUGUAGAGUUUGAUUGAAGCAUAUUUACCUUCUAUAUUUUGACAUGUGAUGUUGACAAGUUGUUUUAAUGGUUACAUGUUUUGAAUCAACAGCUACUGUCACUAAAUAAUUUGUCUGACUCCCGCCUACCCUAAUUUUCCACCGCUAUGAAAAUUUAAAUGGAUACAAAUAGAAAAAAAAUGCUUGAAUAAACAUUGAGAGUCAAAAUUAUAACAAAAAUUAAAACCAAGCCUAACUCUUUCUAAUAA
Long non-coding RNA from Chelonia mydas (Green sea turtle), 4612 nucleotides. RefSeq lists it as uncharacterized. Lineage: Eukaryota; Metazoa; Chordata; Testudines; Cheloniidae. The transcript has 2 exons. The record is from RefSeq and is a predicted model, not a curated record.